GAGGUGGUAGAAACAGAAACAGGAGAUAGACUAGUGUCCCUGUCCAGGGAGGUGGUAGAAACAGAAACAGGAGAUAGACUAGUGUCCCUGUCCAGGAGGUGGUAGAGACAGAAACAGGAGAUAGACUAGUGUCCCUGUCCAGGGAGGUGGUAGAAACAGAAACAGGAGAUAGACUAGUGUCCCUGUCCAGGGAGGUGGUAGAAACAGAAACAGGAGAUAGACUAGUGUCCCUGUCCAGGGAGGUGGUAGAAACAGAAACAGGAGAUAGACUAGUGUCCUGUCCAGGAGGUGGUAGAAACAGAAACAGGAGAUAGACUAGUGUCCCUGUCCAGGGAGGUGGUAGAAACAGAAACAGGAGAU
Non-coding RNA from Oncorhynchus mykiss (rainbow trout), 360 nucleotides. Lineage: Eukaryota; Metazoa; Chordata; Actinopteri; Salmoniformes; Salmonidae. The record is from RefSeq and is a predicted model, not a curated record.